This 464-nucleotide ribosomal RNA is filed under the name uncultured bacterium. RNAcentral describes it as "partial 16S ribosomal RNA". It matches the Rfam family "Bacterial small subunit ribosomal RNA", at positions 342 to 795 of the family's 1533-position model. The record is from RNAcentral.
CGGGGUGCUCCAGCAGUGGGGAAUAUUGCACAAUGGGCGCAAGCCUGAUGCAGCCAUGCCGCGUGUAUGAAGAAGGCCUUCGGGUUGUAAAGUACUUUCAGCGGGGAGGAAGGGAGUAAAGUUAAUACCUUUGCUCAUUGACGUUACCCGCAGAAGAAGCACCGGCUAACUCCGUGCCAGCAGCCGCGGUAAUACGGAGGGUGCAAGCGUUAAUCGGAAUUACUGGGCGUAAAGCGCACGCAGGCGGUUUGUUAAGUCAGAUGUGAAAUCCCCGGGCUCAACCUGGGAACUGCAUCUGAUACUGGCAAGCUUGAGUCUCGUAGAGGGGGGUAGAAUUCCAGGUGUAGCGGUGAAAUGCGUAGAGAUCUGGAGGAAUACCGGUGGCGAAGGCGGCCCCCUGGACGAAGACUGACGCUCAGGUGCGAAAGCGUGGGGAGCAAACAGGAUUAGAUACCCUUGUAGUC